CGCCCGCCGCGCCCCGCGCCCGGCCCGCCGCCCCCGCCCCCCUACGGGAGGCAGCAGUGAGGAAUAUUGGUCAAUGGGCGAGAGCCUGAACCAGCCAAGUCGCGUGAAGGAAGAAGGAUCUAUGGUUCGUAAACUUCUUUUGCAGGGGAAUAAAGUGCAGGACGUGUCCUGUUUUGUAUGUACCCUGAGAAUAAGGAUCGGCUAACUCCGUGCCAGCAGCCGCGGUAAUACGGAGGAUCCGAGCGUUAUCCGGAUUUAUUGGGUUUAAAGGGUGCGUAGGUGGUUUGAUAAGUCAGCGGUGAAAGUUUGCAGCUUAACUGUAAAAAUGCCGUUGAAACUGUCGGACUUGAGUGUAAAUGAGGUAGGCGGAAUGCGUGGUGUAGCGGUGAAAUGCAUAGAUAUCACGCAGAACUCCGAUUGCGAAGGCAGCUUACUAAGCUACAACUGACACUGAAGCACGAA
RNAcentral lists this ribosomal RNA (462 nucleotides) under uncultured bacterium. RNAcentral describes it as "bacterial SSU rRNA". It matches the Rfam family "Bacterial small subunit ribosomal RNA", at positions 305 to 757 of the family's 1533-position model. The record is from RNAcentral.